This 683-nucleotide ribosomal RNA is filed under the name uncultured bacterium. Its description in RNAcentral is "bacterial SSU rRNA". It matches the Rfam family "Bacterial small subunit ribosomal RNA", at positions 126 to 807 of the family's 1533-position model. The record is from RNAcentral.
CUGCCCCUGUCAGGGGGACAACCCGCCGAAAGGCGGGCUAAACCCGCGUACAUGCCACCGGGGCAUCCCGGAGGCAGGAAAGGCUUCGGCCGGACAGGGAUGGGCAUGCGGCGCAUUAGGCAGUAGGCGGGGUAACGGCCCACCUAACCGACGAUGCGUAGGGGUUCUGAGAGGAAGGUCCCCCACACUGGUACUGAGACACGGACCAGACUCCUACGGGAGGCAGCAGUGAGGAAUAUUGGUCAAUGGUCGGGAGACUGAACCAGCCAAGCCGCGUGAGGGAUGAAGGUACAGAGUAUCGUAAACCUCUUUUGUCAGGGAACAAAGGCGGGGACGUGUCCCCGGAUGAGUGUACCUGAAGAAAAAGCAUCGGCUAACUCCGUGCCAGCAGCCGCGGUAAUACGGAGGAUGCGAGCGUUAUCCGGAUUUAUUGGGUUUAAAGGGUGCGCAGGCGGUCUGUUAAGUCAGCGGUCAAAGCCCGGGGCUCAACCCCGGCCCGCCGUUGAAACUGGCAGUCUCGAGUUGAAGAGAAGUAUGCGGAAUGCGCGGUGUAGCGGUGAAAUGCAUAGAUAUCGCGCAGAACUCCGAUUGCGAAGGCAGCAUGCCGGCUCCACACUGACGCUGAGGCACGAAAGCGUGGGUAUCGAACAGGAUUAGAUACCCUGGUAGUCCACGCAGUAAAC